CUUAUCAAGAGAGGUGGAGGGAACAGGCCCUUUGAAACCCGGCAACCAGUACGUUGUUGUAUAUUGGUGCUAAGUCCUGCAGCGGAAGCUGAAAGAUGAGA
Molecule: non-coding RNA, 101 nt
Filed under: uncultured Clostridium sp.
Lineage: Bacteria; Bacillati; Bacillota; Clostridia; Eubacteriales; Clostridiaceae
Description: SAM riboswitch (S box leader)
Rfam family: SAM riboswitch aptamer (S box leader)
About the family: The SAM riboswitch is found upstream of a number of genes which code for proteins involved in methionine or cysteine biosynthesis in Gram-positive bacteria. The SAM riboswitch acts at the level of transcription termination control.
Source: RNAcentral